UUCAUCGUGUCGUUUUUCAUGGCGGGAGUUGGGGCCUUUUUUUCUGACUGACAGCCGGAUUAACGCCGCAAUAACGGUGAUAACGUCGACUGUCUAGAUUUCCUCGACAACGUCGGAGGUGUAUUUUGGAGCCUCUUCUUGUGAAUGCCAUAGUUUCGAUGAUAACAUCAACUGUUUGUGAUCAUGUGGUAAUGUCGUCUGCAUCAGAGGAGUAUUGGAGUCUUUUCCUGUGAUUGCCGUCGUAACAACAGGAGAUUUCUCCAAGCAAAAACAGGAUUCUGAAUAUGAGGCAGAAUCAUCGUACAGCCAGCUGUCCGUUUUACAGAAAUGCAGAAUUAGGUUCAUUCAGAUCUUUGUGGCACCAAAUGCAUUGAAAGUCACAGGUCAGCUGGAAUUCUGGAAAGAGGGUGCAAAGAAAAAGGAUCUGCCUGAAUCCCAUCCUGCUGUUUCUCAUCUGAGAGCUUGUCAACUUUGACUGUCAAAAUUACUGAAAUUUAACACAACACCACAAACUCAUUUUUACUGUAUCAUUUGAUUUUAAUUAACACUACCAGUCAAAAGUUUUUGAACUUUUAAUGUUUUUAAAGAAGCCUCUUCUGCUCACCAAGCCUGGAUUUAUUUGAUCCAAAGUACAGCA
Onychostoma macrolepis is the source of this 637-nucleotide long non-coding RNA. RefSeq lists it as uncharacterized. The record is from RefSeq and is a predicted model, not a curated record. NCBI's taxonomy places the organism in Eukaryota, Metazoa, Chordata, Actinopteri, Cypriniformes, Cyprinidae. The transcript is spliced from 5 exons.